RNAcentral lists this long non-coding RNA (658 nucleotides) under Pongo abelii (Sumatran orangutan). RNAcentral describes it as "lincRNA". The record is from RNAcentral. Lineage: Eukaryota; Metazoa; Chordata; Mammalia; Primates; Hominidae.
CAAUGAAGCGGGUCUUUCCCACGCUAAAAACCACUGAGUGGAGUAUUUAGUACACAGGAAGUCGGCCAGAGAAACAUUUCUCAUAUUUGAAGGCCGGGAAGAGGGACAUUUCUGACACCGGAAGUCAGUGAGAGGGCUCUUUCCCACACAGGAAGUCAGCUACAGAGCCCUCUCCCCUCUCUAGAGCUGAGAGACGCCGGUUUCCCCCGCCAUAGCAGGGCCAGGAGAAAGGGAUGGGGAGAGUCCCUCCUGCCACUGACCCAGGAUGGAUAAAAGUACCCCUUUCAUAGAAGGAAGAAAAUGGGAACAAAGGUGCUGCUGAUCAUCUGAGGUUGCCUGCAUGGCAGUUAAGAGCAUGGACCUUUGGGUAGCCCACCUGGGAGGAAUUUUCCUGAGAUCACUGUCUGAUGACCCUGUCUUGGAAUUGGAGCCAUCCAAGUUACACUGACCAUAUUUGGGUUGGGAUAUUGAGGAGGUUAUGGUUAAAAGCAUACGAUGGGAGAUGAUAUUGUACUUGCGAGUGAGACCUGGCUGGAGGAAUGUUUUAAUUCUUUGGAAAUACCAACUGGUCUCUGUCUCACAUGCGUGCUUCACAAUGGGGAAACUGAACUGGAACUCCACUGACAAUGCAGUUUGGAGUUCAAACUUAAUAACCUUC